UCCCUGGUAGUCCAGUGGCUAAGACUCCACACUCCCAAGCGGGGGGCCUGGGUUUGAUUCCCAGUCAGGGAA
RNAcentral lists this transfer RNA (72 nucleotides) under Ovis aries (sheep). It matches the Rfam family "tRNA". From Rfam's summary of the family: Transfer RNA (tRNA) molecules are approximately 80 nucleotides in length. Lineage: Eukaryota; Metazoa; Chordata; Mammalia; Artiodactyla; Bovidae. The record is from Rfam by way of RNAcentral.